GUGCCAGCAGCCGCGGUAAUACGGAGGGUGCGAGCGUUGUCCGGAAUCACUGGGCGUAAAGGGCGCGUAGGCGGCAUGCCAAGCGUGUGGUGAAAGCCCGGGGCUCAACCCCGGGUCGGCCGUGCGGACUGGCGUGCUCGAGCACUGUAGGGGCGGGUGGAAUUCCGGGUGUAGCGGUGGAAUGCGUAGAGAUCCGGAAGAACACCGGUGGCGAAGGCGGCCCGCUGGGCAGGAAGGUGGAGCAAUCCACCGGCUGACGCUGAGGCGCGACAGCGUGGGGAGCAAACAGGAUUAGAAACCCUUGUAGUCC
RNAcentral lists this ribosomal RNA (310 nucleotides) under uncultured bacterium. RNAcentral's name for it is "bacterial SSU rRNA". It matches the Rfam family "Bacterial small subunit ribosomal RNA", at positions 505 to 796 of the family's 1533-position model. The record is from RNAcentral.